AAACCAGCACCUCAAGUGGUCAGGAGGAUUAUUGGGCCUAAAGCAUCCGUAGCCUGCUUUGUAAGUUUCCGGUUAAAUCCAUUAGCUCAACUGAUGGGCCGCCGGAAAAACUGCAAAGCUAGGGAGUGGGAGAGGUAGACGGUAUUCGGUAGGAAGGGGUAAAAUCCUUUGAUCUAUUGAGGACCACCUGUGGCGAAGGCGGUCUACCAGAACACGUUCGACAGUGAGGGAUGAAAGCUGGGGGAGCAAACCGGAUUAGAUACCCGUGUAGUCC
RNAcentral lists this ribosomal RNA (274 nucleotides) under uncultured bacterium. RNAcentral's name for it is "partial 16S ribosomal RNA". It matches the Rfam family "Archaeal small subunit ribosomal RNA", at positions 473 to 747 of the family's 1478-position model. The record is from RNAcentral.